UCAUUGUUGAUUUCACUUGUUAUAGGGGAGAGAUUCUAGGGCUGCAGAUAAGACUGUUGCCAUGGUCCUGAAGGAGAUACCCAGUAAGGCGUCUUCAGAAGUGAAACCCCUCCUCACGGUGACAACCAAGCUGGUGAGUGAGCAACAAGAGAGCCGCCCCCUGCUAAGCCCCUCCAUCGACGACUUUCUCUGUGAGACCAAGUGCCAUGGCGCUGCCCGCCUAGUGACUUCGAACACAGCAGUUCUGUCCUCCACAUUGGAUCUAUUGGACCUCAGCGAGCCCGGAGAGAGAAGGAACAGCAAGCAGGACAAGAAGAGCCCUCUGCUGUCACGUGGGGACGGGCCUAAGAACAUGCCUCACCGGAAAAAGACGACGGACGAGACCGAGCUGAUCCAGGUGGAUGUAGAGCAGACUGUCCCCUGUCCCCACACUCCUGAAAGAGUGUCACUUGACUCAGUCAACAUUGCCUCUCCUUUGGAGAAAUGGGAGGAGCUCAAUGUCCACACUGAACGAAACAGCAGCAGAAAGUGGAAAUUGGAGAGACGGGGUUCAUCGAAAAACUCCUCCAGUGAACUUCUGUGGUCCAUAGACUGCAAAACGCAAUCAGAGCCACCCUCCAAGAGCUCUUUGGAAGUAAAUACCAUAGCAGAGGCCGAGCCAGCUCUAGCAUUUCAACUCAACAGACAGUAUAUUAGUGGAAGACAUGGCCGUUUGAGUAAAGAGCGGUUCGGUGGCGGUGCCCUCCUGUCCAGAAACCAGUCCCUGGAGGAAGAGUUUGAGCGAGCCAAAGCAGCUGUGGAGUCAGACACAGAGUUCUGGGACAAGAUGCAAGCAGAGUGGGAGGAGCUAGCACGACGGAACUGGCUAACGGAGAACGAGCAGGCGCAGAUCCCCUCCAGUGUGUCGCCUCACGAGAAGGGUUACUACUUCCACAUGGACAAUCCCUACAAGGACUGGCCCAACGCGUUUGAGGAGGGUCUUCGAAAGUCCAAAGAGGGAGACCUGCCCAACGCUGUGCUGCUACUGGAGGGGGCCAUCUUGCAGGACCCCCAGGACUCAGAGGCUUGGCAAGUGUUGGGGACCACCCAGGCCGAGAACGAAAACGAGCAGGCAGCUAUCGUCUCCCUCCAGAGGUGUCUCGAGCUCCACCCCAAUAACCUCCAAGCCCUCAUGGCCCUGGCGGUGAGCCUGACCAACACGGGCAUGAGGCAGGAUGCAUGCGAGGCGUUGCUGCGCUGGCUCCGUCACAACUCCAAGUACAAGCACCUGCUGAAGGGCAAGAGCCACCUGGCGGGCUCCCCGGGCUCCCAACGUAGGAUGUCUCGCGUCUCAACUGUGGGCAGAUAUGAGAGCUCUCUACUGCCUGAGGUGAAGGAUCUGUUUCUGGAGGCAGCCCAGCACAACAGGGACACCGACCCGGACCUGCAGACGGGCCUGGGUGUGUUGUUCAACAUUAGCGCAGAGUUCAACAAAGCUGUGGAGGCCUUCAAUGCUGCCUUGACGGUGCGGCCAGAGGACUACCUGCUGUGGAACCGCCUGGGGGCCACGCUGGCUAACGGGGACCGCAGCGAGGAGGCGGUAGAGGCCUACACCCGAGCCCUGGAGCUCCAGCCGGGCUUCAUUAGAUCCCGUUACAACCUGGGCAUCAGCUGCAUCAACCUAGGAGCACACCGGGAGGCGGCCAGUAACUUCCUAACAGCCCUGAGUCUGCAGAGGAAGAGCCGUAGUCAGCAGCUCUCGCAACAGGUCAUGUCGGGGAACAUCUGGGCCGCCCUGCGGAUAGCCCUCUCCAUGAUGGACCAGCCGGAGCUCUUCCAGGCAGCCAACAUCGGAGACUUGGACCUCCUCAUGAAAGCCUUCAACCUGGACAUGUGAGUGGAGAUGGGCCUUGGAGACAAGUCUCUACUCUCCUACCAACAGGCCUUGGAGACAAGUCUCUACUCUCCUACCAACAGGCCUUGGAGACAAGUCUCUACUCUCCUACCAACAGGCAUUGGAGACAAGUCUCUACUCUCCUACCAACAGGCAUUGGAGACGAGUCUCUACACUCCUACCAACAGGCCUUGGAGACAAGUCUCUACUCUCCUACCAACAGGCCUUGGAGACGAGCCUCUUCUCUCCUACCAACAGGCCUGGGAGAAGAGUCUCUACUCUCCUACCAACAGGCCUUGGAGACAAGUCUACUCUCCUACCAACAGGCAUUGGAGACAAGUCUCUACUCUCCUACCAACAGGCCUUGGAGACGAGUCUCUACACUCCUACCAACAGGCCUGGGAGAAGAGAGUCUCUACACUCCUACCAACAGGCCUGGGAGAAGAGUCUCUACUCUCCUACCAACAGGCCUGGGAGAAGAGUCUCUACACUCCUACCAACAGGCCUGGGAGAAGAGUCUCUACACUCCUAUCAACAGGCCUGGGUGAAGAGUCUCUACACUCCUAUCAACAGGCCUGGGAGAAGAGUCUCUAAACUCCUACCAAAUGCCAAAAACCCAAAGUGUACAGUUGGAAAGAGCUGUUUUGUCAUGUUAAUGAUGAGUGUGUGGUCUAUUUUGGCGAGCACUACAACAUCUUUACUACUCCUCAGUACCUCUGCAGUCUUCUUGAGUACUGCAUGUGCUCGAAGAGUCUAUUUUGCGAUGGAUUUGCACUGCAAUUUGUGAUUUCCCCGAAGAGCACAAGGACGGGCAAAGACUGUACAAGUAAUGCCUUAGAGAACACAGUAAUUAAAACUAACUCAUUGGAACUGAGCAAGAGAGAGAAAGAGAAAUACUGAGAAUGCUUUUGCUGAACAGUGUUGAGGGUUGACAAGAACGGUUUCCUCAUCCAGAUACUUUUAGAGUGUCCGGAUUAUCACACUGACCUAAAGGAAGGAUUUAGUGAGUAAAAUCAAUAAAGACUACACCAUAAGCCGUGGGACUCGGAGACAGUUUUCAGCAGAGAAUCAAUAUUCUUUUUUUGGGGGGUUGGUUUUUAUCCUCUUUUCUGUGAGGAACAACACUGCAUGGAAACUAAAGCAUGUUCCUAAAUGGAUUCGGUGGCACUUGCCUGAACCUAAAAGCUAAGAACUUUUUUUCCUUACUUGGGACUCUGCACUUUGAAAAACAAACAGAUCAUUUCCUCUUAUCUUAAUGAAACGAGACAGAUUGUAAAAGCAUUACCGUAAACGCAUGCUAAAACGAAAUUGAUUUACACAAUUUUUAUGGCAACCAAUGUAAGCCAUUUUCAGAUUCAUUUUUUGACUUCCUCGAAUACCUGACAUCCUCCGAAUUCUUCACGUUUUGUGGUGUUUCCAGCUCCUCAUUUCACUUUACCCUAACUGGUUUGAGAGAAGCACACAUUAGCUGGACAAGAUGGACCUGUAUUUUUCACUCAGAGCUGGGAAAUGGUUGGAACAGUCCAGUAGCAAACGCAAGACGAGGAAAACAGAGAAGUCUUUUGUGUAUGGAAUCACUGUUGAAAACAUCAAGGAGCCAGAGCCAACUGCGGAGACACAGCACAUAUGCGCACGCUGCUGGCAAUCUGCAUAGGAGGUUAGCUUUGAAGACCAGAAAACACAUCGCGGACUGUACAACGUCAAAGGCAACUGGGCCAACACGUUAUGGCAUCCUUCCAUUUAUUAAUUCAUUUAGUCUGUUGCCCAACUACCCCAACAAGAUGAUAUUAUUUCAGUCCCACCCAGCGAGCAAAGGCGGUUGAGAUCUAGUUGUAACCAAUCAUGAUCGUCACUGCGAUCAUGAUUGACUACGUCUUAGUGAGUCAUAGAACGAUGGCUGACAACUCUACACUGUAGAUUUAUAUGGAAAAUAGUAUUGAGAACAGAAUUGUUUUUAUUCCAAAGUGCAUAAUUUACAGAAAAUGUUUUCUGUCCCCAUGUCUCCUAGUUGCCCUUUACUGUCAGCAGCAUAUACACUGUAGUACAAUGCUGAACCAGGAUUUACUGUAUCAAGUGAUUUCUUCAAAAUCACUCUGAUUUCUUAUGGUCUAGUAAGCCUGUGCUUCUUGAACAAAAAUAAAUGUAGUUAUGUAGAAGAUUAAAUUAUUUUUUUAACAGUUUUUGAAUUAUUGGAUUACCAACUAUAUAUAUAUAUAUAUAUUACUGUAGAAUUUAUAUUGAUGUGUGUUGAGUUAGGAUGCCCGAUGACAAAGUACCUUUUCUAGAACAGUUGACCUUCUCAGGUGUGAUGACCUAGCUACACCUAACAUAGUCCAGGUUGAAUGCAUGCUAGAUCUUCUAUGCUUUAUUUUGAAUGAUCUUAUAUUUUCAUGCAUGCAGGGCUUUUCUUUCCCCUAAUUCUAAAAACAAAAUAUAGCAUGAUGUUACAUAGCAAUAUUUUUCCAAUCCACUUUUAAAACGUCUUCAUUUUAUGAAAUGUAACAUACCUAUUGUAUAUUGUGCACAACAUACAAUAACAAAACAUUUGCAGUGAAUCUGGAGAGAAACCAAAAGUAGUGCUCUCUAACUGACUACCGAGUGCAGGUCUCGGCCCACACGCCAACCGUUUGGCUAAAGGGUUUCGGAUCCUCUCAGGCGUGUAUACAACUGAAUGACCACAACGCUUCCUGCUCAGUGUAAUAGCAUUAAGUCCUGCAAUUUUCAAUAAUGUCUCUGUGUCUCGUGUACGAUACAUUUCAUUGUACCCUGCUGGUUUACUCUGGUUUGUUUCUAUAGCUGAUAUACAAGUAUGAAUAGAUCUAUUAAUAUUUUUGAUGCCUUAAAAAAAAAUGAAAUACUUUACAGUGUACCAACAAUGCAUAAUAAAUACUCUCCCGAUGUCCCUAAAACACUAGUCAAGCAUCACACACCUUUCAGACAUAUGAUAUGAAAGUUGUCUUUUAAAAUAAACUUGUAAAAUAUUCAAA
Molecule: RNA transcript, 4860 nt
Organism: Oncorhynchus mykiss (rainbow trout)
Lineage: Eukaryota; Metazoa; Chordata; Actinopteri; Salmoniformes; Salmonidae
Gene: pex5la
Gene name: peroxisomal biogenesis factor 5-like a
Source: RefSeq, a predicted model, not a curated record